UAGGGAAUCUUCCACAAUGGACGAAAGUCUGAUGGAGCAACGCCGCGUGAGUGAAGAAGGGUUUCGGCUCGUAAAACUCUGUUAUUGGAGAAGAAGGAUGAGGUAAGUAACUGUACUUCAUUUGACGGUACCCAACCAGAAAGUCACGGCUAACUACGUGCCAGCAGCCGCGGUAAUACGUAGGUGGCGAGCGUUAUCCGGAAUUAUUGGGCGUAAAGCGAGUGCAGGCGGUUGUAUAAGUCUGAUGUGAAAGCCCUCGGCUCAACCGAGGAAUUGCAUCAGAAACUGUAUAACUUGAGUGCAGAAGAGGAGAGUGGAACUCCAUGUGUAGCGGUGGAAUGCGUAGAUAUAUGGAAGAACACCAGUGGCGAAGGCGGCUCUCUGGUCUGUAACUGACGCUGAGGCUCGAAAGCAUGGGUAGCGAACAGG
RNAcentral lists this ribosomal RNA (429 nucleotides) under uncultured bacterium. RNAcentral describes it as "bacterial SSU rRNA". It matches the Rfam family "Bacterial small subunit ribosomal RNA", at positions 355 to 776 of the family's 1533-position model. The record is from RNAcentral.